UCGGGAAUUUUGGGCAAUGGGCGAAAGCCUGACCCAGCAACGCCGCGUGAAGGAUGAAAUCCCUCGGGAUGUAAACUUCGCAAGAACGGGAAGAAUAAGUGAGAGUUAACACCUCUUACGAUGACGGUACUGUUUGUAAGCUCCGGCUAACUCCGUG
This 157-nucleotide ribosomal RNA is filed under the name uncultured bacterium. RNAcentral describes it as "partial 16S rRNA". It matches the Rfam family "Bacterial small subunit ribosomal RNA", at positions 355 to 507 of the family's 1533-position model. The record is from RNAcentral.